AGAGUUUGAUCAUGGCUCAGAACGAACGCUGCGGCGUGGAUAAGACAUGCAAGUCGAACGAGAUUUUUUCCUGUAGCAAUACAGGGAAAAGUCUAGUGGCGAACGGGUGCGUAACACGUGGGCAAUCUGCCUUAAAGUGGGGGAUAGCUCGGCGAAAGCCGAAUUAAUACCGCAUGUGAUCAGGGGAGACAUCUUCCCGAAAUCAAAAGUGGCGCAAGCUACUGCUUUUUGAGGAGCCCGCGGCCUAUCAGCUAGUUGGCGAGGUAACGGCUCACCAAGGCUUUGACGGGUAGCUGGUCUGAGAGGACGACCAGUCACACUGGAACUGAGACACGGUCCAGACACCUACGGGUGGCAGCAGUCGAGAAUUUUUCUCAAUGGGGGAAACCCUGAAGGAGCGACGCCGCGUGGAGGAUGAAGGUCUUCGGGUUGUAAACUCCUGUCAUUUGGGAACAAGUGUCGGUACCUAACUGCUACCGGCUUGAUAGUACCAGAAGAGGAAGGGACGGCUAACUCUGUGCCAGCAGCCGCGGUAAUACAGAGGUCUCAAGCGUUGUUCGGAUUCAUUGGGCGUAAAGGGUGUGUAGGUGGCGCCGUAAGUCGGGUGUGAAAUUUCGGAGCUUAACUCCGAAACUGCAUUCGAUACUGCGGUGCUUGAGGACUGGAGAGGAGACUGGAAUUCAUGGUGUAGCAGUGAAAUGCGUAGAGAUCAUGAGGAAGACCAGUGGCGAAGGCGGGUCUCUGGACAGUUCCUGACACUGAGACACGAAGGCCAGGGGAGCAAACGGGAUUAGAUACCCNNGUAGUCC
RNAcentral lists this ribosomal RNA (809 nucleotides) under uncultured bacterium. RNAcentral describes it as "bacterial SSU rRNA". It matches the Rfam family "Bacterial small subunit ribosomal RNA", at positions 8 to 796 of the family's 1533-position model. The record is from RNAcentral.